CUGAACACAGUGGAAAACCAGAUCCUGAAGAUUCAGAAGUCGUGUCUAAAGAAGUCAAUAAACAAGAAUCACUAGUUUCAGAAGUUGACGUGAAAGCGGAGGAAAAAUCUGAAGUCACUGAACACCGUGGAAAACCAGAAUCAGUUGAGGAAAUUGGGAAACAACAGGAGNNNNNNNNNNUUCUAGCUAUCAAAGAAUCAGAAGCAGUUGUCCAGGAUAUUGAAGCUUCAGAAGCAGCACCC
Molecule: unclassified non-coding RNA, 242 nt
Filed under: Hevea brasiliensis (rubber tree)
Lineage: Eukaryota; Viridiplantae; Streptophyta; Magnoliopsida; Malpighiales; Euphorbiaceae
Source: RNAcentral